Molecule: long non-coding RNA, 489 nt
Organism: Glycine soja
Lineage: Eukaryota; Viridiplantae; Streptophyta; Magnoliopsida; Fabales; Fabaceae
Exons: 4
Source: RefSeq, a predicted model, not a curated record
CAUCUAUGACAUAUAUAUUUGAUGGUUAUCAGUUGACAAGCAAUAUGUUUUGUUCGUUGACAAAAGAAAAGAAAAAAAUGGUGCAAGAAUGAGAUAUUUCUUGGCUUGUCCCCAACAACAACAAAGGUAAUGGCACACUCAAGCUACAUUUCAAGUUCAAGAUUUCCAAAUUCUUCAAAUCAUACCAGACUCAAGAUGAAGAAGGUGUUUUGUUGAUGACAAUCUUCCCCGACAAUGGAUCACAAAGUUGAAGUUAUUAUUAAUGUGAUGACACAUUAUAAGUUAAUUGGUGGUCACUCAACUAUUGCAUAAUGGGAUAUUCAAAGUAAAGAUUUAAAGGGGAAUAAAAAUUAUUGCACUACUUAGACAAAUUAUUUUUCUUUUAUUUAACUUUUAGUUAUUUCUUUUUUUAAUUUAGUUAUUUCUUAAUAAGGAGAUUGUUUUUUUAAUCAUUAUGUAGAAUUAUGUUUGUUGUGAAAGUAAAAGUUG